CUACAUUCCUGCCGAGAUUGCCGUGUUCAAGUAGGCGGUGUCUCCAGGGUGAGGCGCGGGCGUUGCUUUAUGCUCGUGCUGACCCCUGCCACUACCCCAAACCGGGGCAGAUGGGGCAUAAAUUUUUGGUAGUGGGGAACUGCGCUCGCGCUGUCCCCUA
Molecule: small nuclear RNA, 160 nt
Organism: Dermacentor silvarum
Lineage: Eukaryota; Metazoa; Arthropoda; Arachnida; Ixodida; Ixodidae
Product: U1 spliceosomal RNA
Exons: 1
Source: RefSeq, a predicted model, not a curated record